This 434-nucleotide ribosomal RNA is filed under the name uncultured Lachnospiraceae bacterium. RNAcentral describes it as "partial 16S ribosomal RNA". It matches the Rfam family "Bacterial small subunit ribosomal RNA", at positions 341 to 792 of the family's 1533-position model. Lineage: Bacteria; Bacillati; Bacillota; Clostridia; Lachnospirales; Lachnospiraceae. The record is from RNAcentral.
ACGGGAGGCAGCAGUGGGGAAUAUUGCACAGUGGGCGAAAGCCUGAUGCAGCGACGCCGCGUGAACGAAGAAGUAUUUCGGUAUGUAAAGUUCUAUCAGCAGGGAAGAUAAUGACGGUACCUGACUAAGAAGCACCGGCUAAAUACGUGCCAGCAGCCGCGGUAAUACGUAUGGUGCAAGCGUUAUCCGGAUUUACUGGGUGUAAAGGGAGCGCAGGCGGUCAUGCAAGUCUGAUGUGUAAUCCCGGGGCUCAACCCCGGAACUGCAUUGGAAACUGUGUGACUAGAGUGUCGGAGGGGUAAGUGGAAUUCCUAGUGUAGCGGUGAAAUGCGUAGGUAUUAGGAGGAACACCAGUGGCGAAGGCGGCUUACUGGACGAUAACUGACGCUGAGGCUCGAAAGCGUGGGGAGCAAACAGGAUUAGAUACCCUGGUA